UAAUACAGAGGGUGCAAGCGUUGUUCGGAAUUACUGGGCGUAAAGCGUGCGUAGUCGGUAUUGAGAGUCGCGGGUGAAAUCCCAGGGCUUAACCCUGGAACUGCCUGCGAGACCUCAGUACUAGAGUGUGAGAGGGGAUAGUGGAAUACCCAGUGUAGCGGUGAAAUGCGUAGAGAUUGGGUGGAACACCGGUGGCGAAGGCGGCUAUCUGGCUCACAACUGACGAUCAGGCACGAAAGCGUGGGGAGCAAACAGGAUUAGAUACCCUGGUAGUCCACGCCGUAAACUAUGCACACAAGCUGUAGUGGGAUUUUACUCCUGCUGUGGCGAAGCUAACGCAAUUAGUGUGCCGCCUGGGGAGUACGGUCGCAAGACUA
RNAcentral lists this ribosomal RNA (377 nucleotides) under uncultured bacterium. Its description in RNAcentral is "bacterial SSU rRNA". It matches the Rfam family "Bacterial small subunit ribosomal RNA", at positions 521 to 896 of the family's 1533-position model. The record is from RNAcentral.